CGUUUAGGGGUAAACCUGAGAAACCCGAAAGGUCGAAGGAUGAAAUUCAUCACGUUAUCGUUGCUGACGUUAAGUGUAUGUAUGACAAGCAAUGCAGUAUCUUUGCGAGCAUCAUUGCAUUUUUCGAUUUAGCGACGAACGUGUGCACUUUUCAUCUGGUAGAACGUCGCGAUCCGUUGGGUGUUGGUCUACGAUUUGCAUUGGAGCUCAGAUGAUGUAUGUCUAAUUUAGAUGUACACCCGUUUGAACUUGCAUUUUUCUGACCAACACGCCUGACGGUAUACGAACGGUUUAGGGCCGCUCGUUAUUUAAGGAGCGUUCGACUCUGGGCAAGCGCGUUAGCUGUUUCGAUGAUCGGACUUUGUGCUGAUCGCGAUCACUAAUGACUGUUGGCCUAGAUGUUCUCGAACAGACCCAUAUUUCAAAAAACCGAUCUGCGGCGCUAUAGCUUUGGGUACUUUCAGGACCCGUCUUGAAACACGGACCAAGGAGUCUAGCAUGUACGCAAGUCAUUGGGUAGAAUGAAACCUAAAGGCGAAAUGAAAGUAAAGAUUUUCCUUGUGAGAAUCUAGGGAAGACCAGUGGUUUUCUUAUCAAGAAACUGCUGUGCAUUCCCGGGGCGUCUCAUUCUCAUCGCGAGAGGAGGCGCACCAAGAGCGUACACGCUGGGACCCGAAAGAUGGUGAACUAUGCCUGGUCAGGAUGAAGUCAGGGGAAACCCUGAUGGAGGUCCGUAGCGAUUCUGACGUGCAAAUCGAUCGUCGGAACUGGGUAUAGGGGCGAAAGACUAAUCGAACCAUC
Molecule: ribosomal RNA, 801 nt
Filed under: Scolytoplatypus congonus
Lineage: Eukaryota; Metazoa; Arthropoda; Insecta; Coleoptera; Curculionidae
Description: eukaryotic LSU rRNA
Rfam family: Eukaryotic large subunit ribosomal RNA
Source: RNAcentral